RNAcentral lists this long non-coding RNA (3173 nucleotides) under Anolis carolinensis (green anole). Its description in RNAcentral is "lncRNA (ENSACAG00000043427.1)". Lineage: Eukaryota; Metazoa; Chordata; Lepidosauria; Squamata; Anolidae. The record is from RNAcentral.
AUGGCCCUCACCUCAGAGCCCCUCCAGAUAAUAAUGUCCAGAGAUAAAGACUCCACCAACCCUCUAGAUGAGAGUUUGAGAAACACUGCUCUAAUCGGUCUCAUUGUUUAUUUUAUUUAUUUAUUUACAGUAUUUAUAACCCACCCUCCUCAUCCCGAAGGGGACUCAGAGCGGCUUACAGUACACACAUACAGCAAACAUUUAAUGCCAAUUAUACAAUUAACAAGGACAGACAUCACAAACAGAGGUAAAGGCAGUUUUUCCCAUCUUGUUUCCGGCAUCUUGGAGGCUGUGCUUGACUCCGGGCACGGUGAGGUGCUGUCGCUCCAUCUUCCAUGUCAGAGUUUUCCUGUACCUAUUUAUCUACUUGCAUUUCUGCUUUCAACCUGCUAGGUGGGAAGGUGAGCUGGGGCUAAUGGCGGAUGCUCAUCCCAACCCGAGCUUGAACUGCCGACCUUUUGGUUGGCAGAAAUUUUCUGUGCUAAGCCCAGCUCCUUGUUGAAUAUCUCUUACUGUCAAGUUCUUAAUGCUCAACUUAACUUUUAAGUUACUGCAAUGCUAGAAAUUUGGAUAUUCAAGGAAUGUUUCAUUGUGGGAGAAUUCAUUUCAAGGGAGGAGAGUAGUGUUCUAUUAGCCCCUUAUAGUUGCAGCUCUAAACAUGUUCUUUUUUAUCAGAAUUUAGUUCCAAUGUAUAAACUCUGAUGUAUCCCUUAACAGCAGCAUCCUUUAAGACCAUGGACAAUAUUUCCUGUUUCAGAUCUCACAGAUCCAACUGAGUCAUCACACAACAUUUACAGUUUGUUCAAAACUUUCGAAUGACCCCCCCCCCCCCCCCCGCCCAACAGCUUCAUAGAGAUUUUAAACCUGAUGAAAAGAGAGUGUUUUAUGACACCUGGCCUAUAUGCACAUGUACUAAUGUCAGCGGAAAAUAAGAUUAAUACCUUGUACAUUUUUGUGUUGUCUGCCUUCGCUUGCAAUUUCAUUUUGAGAAUGACCUUUGUACAAACUUGCUGUAGAGGAGGAAAUGAAUACUUGGGGUCUCUACUUACAGGGGAUUCUGGUUUAUAAAUAUUUCUUUCUCUCUCUCUCUCUUUUUUUUUUUUUGAAAGCAGCUCAUUUGAGCAAAAUUUCCCACAUAAAAUACUUGAAGGGCCGUGGGUACUGUAACGGGUCAAUACACAAACCUUCCCUCUGUGGAUACUUGAUUGAUGAUGUUCAGGUCAUGAGUGAAGCCAAUGCGGCAUAGCUCCUCAUGAACACAGCCCUGUCCUUAGCUACACAUAUAUACAAACUUUAUACAACCUCCACUGGCAACAGACAUAUAGCAGUCUGAUAGAAUAUGAGAACUCAGGACAAAUGGCAUCUUAGCAGAGUUGUCUUCAUUUUAAAAAAGCAUAGAAAUUUACUGAUUAUAUAGACAAGGAUUUAACUUGGGGUAUUUAGGGGAAGGGACAGAUGCCAGAUGUGCUUUGGUGUCUGUGCACAAAGGCAUAGGUAAUUCUUACAGAUUUGCCCCCCUCCUUUAAACUAUACAUAGAAAGCCACAACCCUGCAUGUCUAUUUGGAAAUAAGUUCAGGUACAAUAGGUUUCAUGCAAAGUAGAGAGCAGUUCUAUGCAUAUCAAUUUGGUAGUAAGUCUAGGUGCAGUAGGUUUCAUGCAAAGCAGAGCUCAAUUCUAUGCAUAUCGAUUUGGGACUAAGUUUGGAUACAAGGUGUUUCAGACUGCAAAGCACAGCUGUACCCCAGGAUAACUUAGAGGUGUUUUUUUGUGUUCUUUCAUGGCAGGAAGUUGGAUUAAAUGGCCCUUGAGGUCUCUUCCAACUCUAGGAUUCAAUUCUGUGCAUGUCUAACUGAGAGUAAGACUGGCUACAGCAGGUUUCAGGCAUGCAAAGCCCAGCUCAGUAUUAUGCAUGUGUAUUUCACAGUAAGUCUAGGUACAGCAGAUUUUAGAAACGCAAAGUACAGCUCAAUUCAAUGUGUAUCUAUUCAGAAUGAAGCCCUACUACAGCAAGUUUCACACACACAAAACACAGAUCAUUUUAAAACAUUUGUUACAGUAGAUAUUAGGGCUAUGCAAAAUUUCGUUUGUGCCUUGUUUGUCAUAAGUAUUUUGUAAGAUUUGUAUAUACGACUUGACAUUAAGAAACCCGAGGGAUUUCAAGAUAAAAGGGGAUUGUUGGGAGUUGAAUCAACCCUGUGAUGUAGGCAAAGUUGAGAGGUAGUAACUUCAAAAUUUACCUAGCAGGCUUCCUAUUGUUGUUGUUGUUUUCAAAAACUGAAUGGGCAUCUGCUGGGGGUGCUUUUCUUGCCUGGCAGAAGGGAGUUGGGCUGGAUGGCAUCUGGGGUCUUCCAGUGAAAUAGGACUGUCACAUUUAUGUUGAUUAAAAUUCCCUGAAAAUUAGUGUAUGUGUAAAUCUUUCAGAAACUUGUGGGGAAUGAUGCCCUGGUUAUGUUGUAUCGUUGAAAAUAGAAAUUCAAGGAGAUAGCUAUUGUAGUGUUUUUAAAAAAUGUUGUUCAUAAAAACUUUUUUAAAAUUCCCAAACUCACUGGAUGUGUGAAACAUUCUGAAAAUGGGGGUGGGGAGUAGUAAAUGUGUUCUGCCAUUGUAACAAGUUUCAUUCUGAUAGCUCUAAAAAUGAGGUAGAAAGGAGCCCUGGAAGCUUCCCCACUUGCGCAAUUGCAUAAUGAAAAAGUAAUGAAAAUGUCAUUAUAUCAUUAUAGUUACAAUAUUGGCCUCUUACUGUAUUUUAGAAACACUUUAGAACUGAUUCGAGAUCACUCCGUAAUUUGGUAAUGAGUAUUGAAACUUUUUUUUUAUUGAUUGCACAGGCAUAGCACAUAUAUUCUGCUAUUUGAAAGUACCUGGCAGAGAGUCUCCAGGGAAUCAAGGAGGACAAAUGGAGUGUUUACCCCCUCCUCGUGCAUAAAACCAGACUUCAUCCCAUUUGUGAACAAAGUAGAUAGGUGAGCCACAGCAACAAAGUACAGGUGUUCCCAAUGCUUCCGUUUUGGCCUUCAGGUGAUUUGAAUUCUUCUGGUUCUCUGAAACUGUGCCACCACAGAACCACAGUUUGGCUGAGAGCUAGCUUGUGGUUCCACCUCCUGGCUCCUGAGGGACUCACAUGUAACCUUCCAUGCAUGUGAAUCAGCCCAGUGUGUAUUGCAUAGCCAGC